Molecule: ribosomal RNA, 403 nt
Filed under: uncultured bacterium
Lineage: Bacteria
Description: bacterial SSU rRNA
Rfam family: Bacterial small subunit ribosomal RNA
Source: RNAcentral
UAGGGAAUAUUGCAAAUGGGCGAAAGCCUGAUGUAGCAACGCCGCGUGUGCGAUGAAGGUCUUCGGAUUGUAAAGCACUUUUUGGAGGGAUGAGGAAGGACAGUACCUCCAGAAUAAGCCUCCGCUAACUACGUGCCAGCAGCCGCGGUAACACGUAGGAGGCAAGCGUUAUUCGGAUUUACUGGGCGUAAAGCGCGUGCAGGCGGUUUGGAAAGUUGGAUGUGAAAGCUCCUGGCUCAACUGGGAGAGGUCGUUCAAAACUUCCAGACUUGAGAGUGGUAGAGGGAGGUGGAAUUCCGGGUGUAGUGGUGAAAUGCGUAGAUAUCCGGAGGAACACCAGUGGCGAAAGCGGCCUCCUGGCCCAUUUCUGACGCUCAGACGCGAAAGCUAGGGUAGCAAACGG